This is a long non-coding RNA of Lolium rigidum, 2177 nucleotides long. RefSeq lists it as uncharacterized. The record is from RefSeq and is a predicted model, not a curated record. The transcript is spliced from 3 exons. NCBI's taxonomy places the organism in Eukaryota, Viridiplantae, Streptophyta, Magnoliopsida, Poales, Poaceae.
GAAAGGCAUCUUAUAUAAUGUAUAAUAUAAGAACGGAUUCGGUUCCUUGAAAAAUGUAAGUGUGCAGAGUGCAUAGGUAGAAAUAUAGCAAUGUGGUAUGGAGUAAUCCUAAUUGACAAUCAAGGUCUGAAGUUAUGAAGAAUCCUAAUUGGAAAUGGCAGCCAUCAAAUCUAAUCUUUCAUGACAAACAUGUUCAAUAACUGAGUUCUCUUCCUGCAAUUCUUCUGCGACCAGCUCCAUUGCGGGGCAGCUACUUCUUCUAACCAAUUCUUGUCUCCCUAAUUUACUUUCUACUUUAUGCAACUAGAGUUCGGCUAGCAGGUAGACUCCUACAAUAAAGGCGACAGCGGCCAGCUGCUGCACCUACCUUGUUUCUGAUAGUACUUGAAUUAUGUUGCGCUAUCCAAUAUACGACAUUAAAAAUUAGGCCAAAACUAAAGAAUGGUUAAAUACGUCCCGCUAACUUAUCAAUAACGUCUUGUUGAAGUGGUCAACUCUGUUGAGCUGUGCAUUAUCUUUAUAUUAGCAUUUGUGUAAACGUUGUCCAAAUAGUUGAAGCACUUGUUCUGGAGCCCUUAAAUAAACCCUAACCCUCACUUUCCACCCUUGUUUGCUAUGUAAUAAAGGGAACAUUUAGUUCCCACUCCCCACUCCAUAUGACACGAGAGCAAAUUUGUAUAUUUUUUGAUAGUAAGCAAAUUUGUAUAUGAAAGCUAGACAAACACUAGAUCGAAAAUGAAUAGAUUUCACCAACUCACGUUUGUUCUACUAAACGCCCUCCUCACUCUAUUUGUGGCAAGAAGAUGAAGAGCAAGUUGGAGAUCUGAAAGUUGUUCAUAUCGGGUACUAUCUUCCGAUGUGGCGCAGCUUAUGCAUCACAUUUGUCCACACACAUUCCCGAUUCUAAUGCACGGUCUUCAACUCUUCUACAUACCGUGUUGCAUCUUGUUCUUUCACCUUCGGUUCCAUCGCACCGUUCCCGAUUCUAAUCGAUCUCCUGUCCCUUUCAGAUCCAUGUGUGCGUGGAGAAUGGUGGGUAGUACAGUCUCAGGAGGACUGCGGCGAUAUCUCCACCGCUGUCGCGGAGGAUGGAGUCCAUGUUGCCAAUGUCACAGAGGAUGGUGUCCUUGUUGCCGCCAUCGUAGCAUGGCCAUCGCAGAAUAGAGAGACGCUCAUGAAUUGAUUUGUUAGGUUCCUCCAGCUGUCCUAGGGUCCCUGAGUUGGUUAAUGUUGAUUUUGCUCAGGCACGGUCCAUCUUAGGGGUCAACGAGAGGUGGCUCAAGCGAUACGGGAUGGCGGCGAGCAGCGGCGACCGCAGCGGAUGGUGCAGCAGACUGGACAUGCUUUAGAAAUCGCGGUCAAGACAACACGUCUUGGGGAGUGGUGCGCCCGUCAAGCGACAGCGUCUGAUUCCGACACAACAAGGUGAGCUUUCCCCAAAUCCUCUUUCUUUAUAUCUUUCUCUCUUUCCAUCAAGCUUGUGCGAUGUGCUAUACUUUCUCAUCUUUUAUUAGAUAAUUGUUGGCACUUUCAAGGACCCAUUACACCUCGCUGUGGAAUUACUUGAUAUGUUGUGCAGCGUGAGACCCAUUACACCCCCUGUGGACCCAUUACACUUUCAAGGGCUGCAUAUAGUGUUGUGAGCCUUCCCUGUGGCCUCCUUUUUAGUCUUGAUUUGAGGCUAUUGCUACCUACCGUGUAGUUUCAUGCCUAUGCUCUGACUUGUUCAAGACUUCUUUUUUUCUUAUAUUGUUUUAAGGACUAUCACUCAAGUCUUAGGAUUUGACGACAUUAUUUCUGGCUGUUAGAUUGUACAACAUCUUUGUUAUGGAUUGUGACACCCACACAAUACUGGAUUCAGCCAGAGAAGGCGGGGAUCCGUGGAUGCCAGUGAGGGAAGCAGCUUGGCUCGGGCCGACCAUGGUGCUAGCGUUGCAGAGUCGCCGCCAUCCUCAUUCGUCUCCCAUCCACAGCUGGCUCCAACCCCUCCUAUGAUGUCGUGCUAUGAGAGCAAGAAAAAGAGAAGACAUGCUCUGUAUCUACAUCCAGCGUCCACACAGCCAGAUAAUGGUACUGCUCUGAAUAAUUUUUUUUGUUUAGAGCAACGGUGAUGCAUGUAACUAUGUUACCUUAAAUUAUCUGCUUGUGUUAAUUGAAAAAAUUAUGUUCCUUGCUUA